GACGAACGCUGGCGGCGUGCUUAACACAUGCAAGUCGAACGGAAAGGCCCUGCUUUUGUGGGGUUCUCGAGUGGCGAGCGGGUGAGUAACACGUGAGUAACCUGCCCUUGACUUUGGGAUAACUUCAGGAAACUGGGGCUAAUACCCGAUAGGAGCUCCUGCUGCAUGGGGGGGGUUGGAAAGUUUCGGCGGUUGGGGAUGGACUCGCGGCUUAUCAGCUUGUUGGUGGGGUAGUGGCUUACCAAGGCUUUGACGGGUAGCCGGCCUGAGAGGGUGACCGGCCACAUUGGGACUGAGAUACGGCCCAGACUCCUACGGGAGGCAGCAGUGGGGAAUAUUGCACAAUGGGCGGAAGCCUGAUGCAGCAACGUCGCGUGCGGGAUGACGGCCUUCGGGUUGUAAACCGCUUUCGCCUGUGACGAAGCGUGAGUGACGGUAAUGGGUAAAGAAGCACCGGCUAACUACGUG
This 468-nucleotide ribosomal RNA is filed under the name uncultured bacterium. Its description in RNAcentral is "partial 16S ribosomal RNA". It matches the Rfam family "Bacterial small subunit ribosomal RNA", at positions 28 to 507 of the family's 1533-position model. The record is from RNAcentral.